This 451-nucleotide ribosomal RNA is filed under the name uncultured bacterium. Its description in RNAcentral is "bacterial SSU rRNA". It matches the Rfam family "Bacterial small subunit ribosomal RNA", at positions 28 to 524 of the family's 1533-position model. The record is from RNAcentral.
GACGAACGCUGGCGGCGUGCUUAACACAUGCAAGUCGAACGCGUGUAGCAAUACACGAGUGGCGCACGGGUGAGUAACGCGUGGAUAUCUGCCUUUUGGUUCGGAAUAACCCCGGGAAACUGGGGAUAAUACCGGAUGGUUCCUACGGGAUAAAGAUUUAUCGCCAAAAGAUGAGUCCGCGUACGAUUAGCUAGUUGGUGAGGUAAUGGCUCACCAAGGCGACGAUCGUCAGCUGGCUGAGAGGACGAUCAGCCACACUGGGACUGAGACACGGCCCAGACUCCUACGGGAGGCAGCAGUGGGGAAUAUUGGACAAUGGGCGCAAGCCUGAUCCAGCCAUGCCGCGUGAGUGAUGAAGGCCCUAGGGUUGUAAAGCUCUUUUGUGCGGGAAGAUAAUGACGGUACCGCAAGAAUAAGCCCCGGCUAACUUCGUGCCAGCAGCCGCCGUAAC